RNAcentral lists this ribosomal RNA (253 nucleotides) under uncultured bacterium. Its description in RNAcentral is "partial 16S ribosomal RNA". It matches the Rfam family "Bacterial small subunit ribosomal RNA", at positions 524 to 776 of the family's 1533-position model. The record is from RNAcentral.
UACGUAGUGGGCAAGCGUUGUCCGGAAUCAUUGGGCGUAAAGAGCGUGUAGGCGGCUCGAUAAGUCUGCUGUGAAAGUCCAGGGCUCAACCCUGGAAGGCCGGUGGAAACUGUCGGGCUAGAGUCCGGAAGAGGCGAGUGGAAUUCCCGGUGUAGCGGUGAAAUGCGCAGAUAUCAGGAGGAACACCGAUGGCGAAGGCAGGUCUCUGGGCAUUAACUGACGCUGAGGAGCGAAAGCAUGGGGAGCGAACAGG